Molecule: ribosomal RNA, 229 nt
Filed under: uncultured bacterium
Lineage: Bacteria
Description: partial 16S ribosomal RNA
Rfam family: Bacterial small subunit ribosomal RNA
Source: RNAcentral
CGUGUAGGCGGUUAAUUAAGUCUUGUUUGAAAGACCGAUGCUCAACAUCGGAAACGGACAGGAAACUGAUUGACUAGAAUCCGGUAGGGAAAUGUGGAAUUUCUAGUGUAGGGGUGAAAUCUGUUGAUAUUAGAAAGAACACCAAUGGCGAAGGCAACAUUUUGGGCCUGGAUUGACGCUGAGGCGCGAAAGCAUAGGGAGCAAACAGGAUUAGAUACCCUGGUAGUCC